AUUGAACGCUGGCGGCAGGCCUAACACAUGCAAGUCGAACGCGAAAGCUCCUUCGGGGGUGAGUAGAGUGGCGAACGGGUGAGUAACACGUAGGAAUCUACCCAGGAGUGGGGGACAACCCGGAGAAAUCCGGGCUAAUACCGCAUACGCCCUACGGGGUAAAGUGGGGGACCUUUUCGGAGGCCUCACGCUUUUGGAUGAGCCUGCGUCGGAUUAGCUUGUUGGUGAGGUAACGGCUCACCAAGGCGACGAUCCGUAGCUGGUCUGAGAGGAUGACCAGUCACACUGGGACUGAGACACGGCCCAGACUCCUACGGGAGGCAGCAGUGGGGAAUAUUGGACAAUGGGGGCAACCCUGAUCCAGCCAUGCCGCGUGUGUGAAGAAGGCCCUAGGGUUGUAAAGCACUUUCAGUGGGGAAGAAAAGCCUAAGGAUAAUAUCCUUGGGUCUUGACGGUACCUACAGAAGAAGCACCGGCUAAUUCCGUG
Molecule: ribosomal RNA, 487 nt
Filed under: uncultured bacterium
Lineage: Bacteria
Description: bacterial SSU rRNA
Rfam family: Bacterial small subunit ribosomal RNA
Source: RNAcentral